CGCUAGCCCUACGCAGCCGCCGCCACACCUGCCGAUCCCUGCGCAUCGCACCCAUCCCCGCCGCCAUACCUGCCGUCCCCUGCGCCACCCAUCCCCACCUCGCCCCGCCCGCCGCCUCUCCUUCACGCCGGCGCCCGCUCGCCUCGCCUGCACCGGUCGCCACGCGCUCGCCCCGCAAGGCAAGGAGCUCCCUUCCCCAACCCGAUCUGAUGGAAAGAGGACCAAGCCUUAACGGUCCGGCUGUGGGAGCCACCGUAGAGCCUCCAUGUCGGUGGAGCAGAGCAGCCCGUCGGUGGUCACGACCACGUCAUUCCCUGAUCUCGUCCCGCAGAUCACCGUCUUGCUCCUCCGCCCCACCGCCAUUCCGUUGGAGAUGAGGAUUGCAUUGUUGCGCCGCCGCCGCCGCCACUUCCUACAGACUCCCUGACUCACAGUGCAAGACAUCCCAACUCGGUUCCAUCCGGGUAAAUGCCGCCGCCGCCCUUGGCAGGAUCCCUUUUGGCGGCUUGGAUCUAGGCAAACGAGGAGCGGAAGGAGAGAAGUACGUCUAUGACUCGGGUCAUGGGGAUGGAUGGAUCUCUCGGUACAACGAUGGCAAAUAUUUGUUUUCAUCAGAAGUAUAUUUUCAUGAGAUACAAUGGCAAUCAGGCGGCACAUGCAGAAGAGUUGUGGAAGGUUGAUUGAGAAGUCAUAAGGACUGGGUGAAGCAAAAUGCAAUCUCCAAGUUUCAGGUUUCAAAAUGAGAAAUUGGAGCAUUAAGACCUUUGAACUGAAACCUAAAUAAAGGUAUACAUAUUUAUGUUGGUCUAAAGCCACCAUGUUUUAUCUGUAGAAAAUAGAAAUCGCCGUUCGGUUUCAUUUACAAAUUAAAUUAAACUAUAGACAUAGUCCACGACGUCGGGACAAAUAGAGUAACUAAUUAUAUGUAUGUUUUUUCCAGCAAAGAACUUAUUAUAAAACGGGACACCAGAAAAUCCAGUGGGAAAUUGAUGGGCUCCCCUCUUCGUAAAAAAGUUACUUCACGGCAUUGCCUAAUGUACAGAGAAAUCACGGGGUCAAAAAUUGCUUUCCCGCCCAUGACAUAAUUUAUACAGCAUCACAGAGUGCCUUUUUAUGCAUAAUCGACUUCCCUCGGAAAAGCAUUUGUAAGAUAGCUAAUCAACAUGUCAUUUGUUCUUAAUUCAGAACUGUGCAUGCAUCCAACAGAGAAAGGUGCGUACAUAUCCUGAGGGACAAUAAAAAAUGUGAGUUCUUUAUGGCAUAAUAUCAGGCACCGUUCUGAGUGAUCUCUUUGCAACUCAAGAUACCGAUUAGUUAUAUUAUUUCCUACCUGUAACCAAUUUCUGCACACCAAAACACAGAGUCAAGUCAGAUCUAUAGGAGGAUAAGUAUUCUUGGUGUGAUUACUAAUGAGACAAUGUAAGGAAUUGUUUCUAGAACUCAAUUUUAUUAUAAGUUCAAUAUCAGCACCACACAAUCUUUCUACUACCAUUCCUAGACAAAUAUCAACCCGUUACACAAGACAAUGCAAGAAAACAUAUGUCACACAGGACUAUUCUAUUACCGCGCGCUUCACCGCUGCCGUCGAUGUUCCCAGCAGGCCACAUAUCCUCCAAUGGUAAUCUCAUGGGUCAUCUGAUGAGACCGAUAUGAGCCAAACUUUUAGCUUAAUGAUGCAUGGUUAGAUAUAGAUAGAAGAACCGGUUGUACUAUAUCUUUUUUUUGCCCUGAAGUAGCGCUUCUACUUCUGAUUCAUGUCUACUUCAUGGUUGACAUCUUAAAGAAAAAAUACUCUAAAUUAAAAGGUGCAAAGAUUCUGUGGAUGACAUCCAUGCAUUAAUGCAUAUAGCUCUGAGUCUUCCUUUUCUCUUAUAUAUGAAUCUAUAAUCUGCUUUUGUCCAAUGGUACAAUUUAUCAAGUUCAACAAGGGUGUGGUUAGUGCCUUUUGUCCAUUCAAUCCAAAAACGGAUCGGGUUCUACUAUCGAAAGCGAUAACAAAAAAAAACAUGAAAAAUCAACCAGGUUAGUUCCUUUUUUUGCUAAGAUUUACAAUUAAAGUCAAAUUAGUACUUAAUGUAAGGAAGGUCAAACUUUUGUCUUUACUGAUUUUUGUCUGGUUCGCAGGAGAGAGGGACGAGUUCCCCGGCAUGGGGUCAUGAGUGGUACAAACUGGAGGAUGCAUGCCGGUGGUUCUGUCAGUACAAUUUACUUAGAUUUUCAGUUCUUUUCACCUCAUAAUUAUCUUUUCUUUAUGUGUUAGUACGGUUAAACUUCUUUAUCUUUUGUUCCUUCCUACUUAUGGCCUUCGUGUGCACCUUGAUUAAGUUCUGGUGUUUAUUCGGUGCCAAUGUCUUAAGACAAUAGUUUCAUGCAUGGAUUUAUUCCAGCAUUCUAAUUUAGAGACCUUUGUGCCAGACAGUUUGUUGCAUUCACCUUAAUAGAGAUAAUAAAAUCUUACUGAGUAACAAGCGUAAUGAUGGAGGAACGGACGUCAAUUUAAAGGUGCAUAUUAUUCAGCUUGAUUCAUUGCUGAGGAUUUUUUAAUACAUGGCUUCUAAUUCCAGACCAAGAACUUAAUUCAGAAUCUAAAAAUUGAAGGGGAGGUAGAGGGAUAUUGUUGGUGCUGUCCAGAAACAAUGCUCAUUUAUUUAUUACAGUCGAUGUAUUUCUUGUGUGUCUCAUUGAUUGAGUAUUUGAGUUGGAGCAUAAGUAUAUUAAUGUCUUAGAAUUUGCACAUAUGCUUUAUCCACUUGUCAUUGCUAUUUACAAGUCACAUAUUUAUAUUUGGAUUACAGAUUCUUUGUACUUAUUGUUGUACUUCGUGUUUUCUAUUGAGUGUGGUACCUCUUGAAGGAGGGAAAGCUAGGAUUCAUUGAUGACUGAGGUGCAGAAACUGCUGGACACGUACAAGGACGAGGAGGUGAGCAUCACGGUAAUGGGGCACAGCCUCGGGACGGAGCUGGCCACCCUGAAUGCGUUGUACAUCGCCGAGAAUGGCCGGUCACGGUGUUUGCGUUCGACAGCCCACGACCGGCCGCAGCCGGCUUCAAGAAGCGGUUCGACGUCACUGCGGCCUUUGCGACCGCAACGCCGGGACAUCGUGCCCAGGUACUCGGCGCUGCUGUAACACGAUAUGGGCUCCGAGCUGGCCAUCGACAUCGGCACAUCGCCAUACCUGAGGCCUGAGGGUGUCGCAAGGUCAGUCCAAUCAAUCUCCUACGCCAUAGACGAUGCCCCGACUUUUUUUAUGUCCAUCGACAAUGAUUCCUCACAUAUAAACCAUGCGACAACCAUGGACGACCUUUUGCUGAAGAAUCUAUUGUUUGCUCCAGUGGAUUUGAUCUUUAGUCUUCCCUUUCUUUCUAUGGUUGUGAGUAAUCUAAUCCAAUUCGCAGCUCCAUGCACGAUCAAGGCUAGGGUGUGAAUUAUGACUGUGUCGUAUGAGGCCAUGAUUGUGGCAGGGAUGUUUGGUGGCACGAAGUUGUUUAGUAACAAGAUGGGUCUAAACUCAGCUACUAGAGAUCUGAGCGGAAACACAGGAGGAGUUCCUAUCAUCAGUUCUAGCCGUAAAGUCGAAUGCCUAUGUUGGUGAGCUCUAUAAUCCAAACACCCAGAAGAUGGUACCCCCUUCGUUCCAUAAUAAAAGAUCUUAUUACAUUCGAUGUAAUAAGAUCUUAUAUUAUCGGAUAGCGGGAGUAGAUGUUAUUUUGUACUCUUAGCAUGUAAGUUGUUUUAAACUUUUUAUUAGCAGCUUGUGACUUUUCUAAAAAGUAAGGUCAUGUAGGCACAUGGAGCGCUCCUUUUUUUUGUCACUUUCUACUCAAUUGUAGAGGUUUAUUUAUUGCAGUAUAAUAAUUACUUCUUGUUGAGGUUACUCUGCAGCACUUGCUGUCCUUGCCUUUUCUGAUAUCAAGGGGCCAAUACAACUUCUCUGAUUAUAAAUGUGUGCAACAUGACUAUUUGAAAGAAGCUCUGUUUGAGAAAUUGAGGCUAGAGUUCUGAUGUAAGUACGGCAUCAGCAUUUGUGAGCGCCUUUAUAUGCUGACCGUCUCAUCUUUGCGGCAAGUAAGCAGUUUGAUAUACUGCUUGCUUUGAUAUAGGCAUUUAGCGAUGAAAAUUGUCAUCUAUUCAUGUUUACAUAUACUUAAUCUGAUGGAGACAUGAGCCUGCCGAAUGCCUCCACGUUAGUAAUGCACAUCUCAGACGAUACACUCUUCUUCUUUCUUGACUAAACUUUCACACUGAUUAUGCAUCAUGGAUCAGAUCCAACAUAUUAGUUUAUUUGCAUGUACGUAGACGGAUGACAAGUAAAAUAAAUUCAAGGAUCUUAGUGCAGUUUGUCAGCUACAAUUUCACGAUCAUUUAUGGGCUUAGGGAGUCAUCAUCGUCUCCCCCUUCGCCUUAAUUGUCCUCACCUACAGUCCAACAACCUCCUGGAGCUCGAUUUUAUGCUCGGUUUCAGAUUUGUUAGUAAGGGACUGCUGAUCCUAUUUGUUUGUUCUGAGAACAACGAACAUGUGAACUCCCAUGACCACUCUUUAUUCUAUUUGUAAAUUUAUCUGAUUCUUUCUAUAUGUAUGUACAAUGUUCUUGUUGCGGAGCACAGGAUAGAUGUGAUACUCCAAACUCCCACUAAAUAAUUGCAUAGUUAAUGAUUCAAAUCUUAGCAUCUCAUAAUGGGUGUUGAAUUACGUUCAAGUAAUCUUAUUCGUAUUUGGUGAUCUGUUGUAGUGUACAAAUCAUUUUUCAUAUAUAUCAUGACCUCUUCGUAAUGUUUUCUUACCAUUUCUCAAUGGGCACCGGUUUCUGCUAUCACUUGCAAUUAUUUCUUAGGUAAUUUUCUGGACCAGUACACACCCAUACUUUCAGGAUUACGAACACCAGUGGGUUAAUAUGUUACUAAAACUGUUGGUACCUCAUCUGGUUGGAUGGGGGCUUAAUCUUGUUCUAAAAAAAUACCAGUACACACAUCAAUUUAUUUUAAUGUUCUAGGAUAUAUAAUAAAUGUGUGAUGUUUUUGAACUGUGUUUCACAUGGAACUAUUGAUGUUGUUCUGAACAAAGAAAAAAGUUUGCUUGGUAGGGUUUGAGUCCUUGUUAUUAUGAAAUUUAUAUUUCAGCAUCUUGAGAACUAUGACAUUUUAAACUCCUAGAACUUAUGAAGCAGAAUAAUAUUUCAAGUUGUUUACAAUUAGGGUGGACAGGCAAUAAGGCUUCUUGAAUCUGCACAAGUCAUGUACAUUUGACAUCUCAACGUACACGUAGCGCUGCAUCAAUCUUUUGACAUAUCAUUGUCUAAUCAAAUGCUCAUGAUUUAGAUGAAGUGGCAAAAUCCAUAUAGUACUUGUUCUUCUCUGAGUACGUUAGUUCCAUGUGGCUUCCGAGGUUGUGCCUUCCGGGAAUUAAAGCAGCAUUAGCAGUACUCUGUACUCAUACCCAUGAUUGACUAAUAUGAUUGCACUACCACUUGUAUUCCUUUUGUUAGUAUGCACGUAAUCUACUAUUCUUUCCGCAUUCAGAUUCUGCCUUGUGGUGUGUUUCUUUGAUUCAGAUUAUGCCUGAACCAGCGGGAGCCUUUGAAGCAGCGAGAGAGUAACGGAUGGGGAAACUGGCAGAUCCUUUUGUGUGGACGACAGCUCGACGGUGGCAACUCGACCAGGUUUGCCGUGAGAAGGCCAGACUAUGCGAGAGAUUUGGCGUGUGUAGUUUAUCUUGUCGCUAAUUACGGUGGAGUGUGGUUAGAUUAUCAGCUUUGUUAGAUGCAUAGGGCAUGGAAGGAGCGGUGGAUAUGAGCUCCUACGGCAGAACUACUAUGCCUUGAGCAACUUCAGAGGAGCCGGCUCCCACUGAGAAUACAUUUUAUUUUCUUUAGCCGAUUAAUUGCAAUAAUUAAUGAGGGCUGAUGCACCCCGGGAGCAGCUGCCAAGAUGGAAGUUGUAGCAAAUAGGACGCCUUCCAUCGAAGGGAAACUCCGGGCAACUCCGCUCUCGUUGGCUGGCGAUGCAUGAUGAGGCCAAUGGACAGCUCGGUGCUACACAAAUGAAUCAAGGAGAACAUGUUAACAGACCAGCAACGUGCUAGGAGGCCAACAGGAGCAUUACCUGGUGUUGACCGGCGGGCAAAUGACAUCAUAUAUGUUUUUGUCCAACCAAGGAUUUUGUCACAUGUGUAGUGCAGUCUAAAAAUAAUAAGCUAGGAGGUUAUGCCCUACCAUCUGCAAGAACAAUGGAUUGUGUACUGAACAUAAGCUUUUUUUUGCAAGUUUGCUCUCAGUUAUGUCUUUGGCGGGGCAUACUUGAUCAUAGAAUUUGUAUGAAAGAAGGGGUGCCGGGCAACCUGCUAGGAGAUGGCACAGAUGGGCCUUGAGGACAUGGCACCGUUCAGGAGGGCGGCAUUCCGACAACACUCCAGCAUAGACUCAUCAUGGUACCUAGACGUGGGCUGGUAAACAGAGGUAACAAGGAGCUUGAACAUCAGGACAUCAAGAAGGAAGCUGAUGAUGAUGAAUACGACCAUCUUGGCGUGGAUUGCUGCCGCUGCCAUGCCCAUGUCCAGCAACAUGUUGUUGUGCCAGUGCUGCAACCUUCUACUCCAAACACGAUCGCAGGCAAUGUGAUCAUGAACUUCUGGGAUACUUAACGUUCCCUGUAUUUUUCUAGCAAUGUCUUAGUUAGGACGUAGAUGCAAGGGCUCAUAUAAAUCUCGAUGAACUGAUAUUAGUUACCAUGAUAAUUUGGUUCUAUAUAUGGCCAUAUCCGAAUCAUUUUAGGCUUAUAAUGGCAUUUUCUUUAAUGAUUUAUUUAUAGAGUAUUACAAUGGUGACAAUGGAGGGAUUCUUCUCUUUUCGUAUACCAUGUAUAUUUCGUGUUUACACCUUCA
Long non-coding RNA from Triticum dicoccoides, 6878 nucleotides. RefSeq lists it as uncharacterized. The record is from RefSeq and is a predicted model, not a curated record. The transcript has 6 exons. NCBI's taxonomy places the organism in Eukaryota, Viridiplantae, Streptophyta, Magnoliopsida, Poales, Poaceae.